UCCGUAGGUGAACCUGCGGAAGGAUCAUUAAACAUAUUACGGGGGGCCGGACCCAAGGCGCGUGGUUUUCCACUGUGUCUUGACCCGCCCUGUCUGAAUAUUUAUACCCAUGUCUUUUGCGUACUCUUCGUUUCCUCGGUGGGCUUGCCCGCCGAUAGGACACUAUAAAAACCUUUUGUAAUUGCAGUCAGCGUCAGAAAUAACUUAAUAGUUACAACUUUCAACAACGGAUCUCUUGGUUCUGGCAUCGAUGAAGAACGCAGCGAAAUGCGAUAAGUAGUGUGAAUUGCAGAAUUCAGUGAAUCAUCGAAUCUUUGAACGCACAUUGCGCCCCUUGGUAUUCCAUGGGGCAUGCCUGUUCGAGCGUCAUUUGUACCCUCAAGCUUUGCUUGGUGUUGGGCGUUUUGUCCCGCGUUGCGCGUGGACUCGCCUUAAAGCGAUUGGCAGCCGGCAUAUUUGGCCUUGGAGCGCAGCACAUUUUGCGCUUCUCGUCAUGAAUGCGGGCGUCCAUUAAGCCUAUACAUUUAACUCUUGACCUCGGAUCAGGUAGGGAUACCCGCUGAACUUAAGCAUAUCAAUAAGCGGAGGA
This 589-nucleotide ribosomal RNA is filed under the name Dothideomycetes sp. Ponipodef 10. RNAcentral describes it as "eukaryotic LSU rRNA". The stretch from base 216 to 369 matches the Rfam family "5.8S ribosomal RNA". Lineage: Eukaryota; Fungi; Ascomycota; Dothideomycetes. RNAcentral also lists the same sequence under 1 other name. The record is from RNAcentral.